GCCCUGGUAGCUCAAUUGGUUAGAGCGUCGGACUUUUAUUAGCUGCGGGAGUGAAAGUGAUCCGAAGGCUGCGGGUUCGACCCCCGCCUGGGGCG
Molecule: non-coding RNA, 95 nt
Organism: Nemania sp. FL0916
Lineage: Eukaryota; Fungi; Ascomycota; Sordariomycetes; Xylariales; Xylariaceae
Source: the annotation of a GenBank genome assembly